This is a long non-coding RNA of Procambarus clarkii (red swamp crayfish), 1186 nucleotides long. RefSeq lists it as uncharacterized. The record is from RefSeq and is a predicted model, not a curated record. Lineage: Eukaryota; Metazoa; Arthropoda; Malacostraca; Decapoda; Cambaridae.
AUAGGAAGAAAACCCGCUGGGUUGCUCAUCCUGUCACUUGUCCCCAGUCACAGGGUAUAUGUGUGUUUCAACUUCACGUAUAUAAAUCCCUGCUUGUUAAAGUCGAUAAUAAAUAAUUGUCAAAACAUGGCACCAAGCUGGGAAGACUAUUUUGCACCGUCUGUGUUGCAGAAUAUUGAAAAGGUCAUCAAUAUACGUUUUCUAUGCGUUGGUCGUAGAGUAGGUUCAGGUGUUUUAGGGAUGGUUUUAGUACAGCAUUUUCUAUCCGUUGUGGCAACUGGAGAGGCGGGGCUAGGCUGCUGACACCAUAAGGUGCCAGAUAUAAACAGGGACUCAUGGUUUGACGUCACAGUCAUUGAGCAGCACUCUUAAGGCCAACACCUUCAGCUCUCUUCCCAUCAUGCGCCUCCUUUCUUUAUUGAUCCUGGUGGCCGCCCUCAGUCUAUUUGAGGCCUACGCUGAGCUCCGGCACUCUCGUGAGGCUGCUAAUACAAGGCCUCUUCCAGGGAAACUGUCAAAGUCACUUCCUCCCUCAGUAACACCUCUGUCAUCUUCUCGACGAUCCUCUGCAGGACAUCUUUCUACCAACGAAAGAUGGAACGGCAGUAAGGAGUCCUGCCUGACCUGUGACAAGCUCACCAUCCGUCAGCGGGGUGUGUGUUGUCGGCGGUGGGGCUCCUGCUGCUAGUGGGGCUUCUGCUGGAGCUCCUGCUGGUGGUGGAGCUUCUGCUGGUGGUGGAGCUCCUGCUGGUGUUGGAGCUCCUGCUGCUGGUAGAGGGGGCUCCUGCUGCUUCUGGAGGUCCUUCUGCUGCUAGUGGGGCUUCUACUGGAGCUCCUGCUGGUGGUGGAGCUCCUGCUGCUGGUAGAGGGGGGCUCCUGCUGCUAGUGGGGCUUCUGCUGGUGGUGGAGUUCCUGCUGCCGGCGGGACUUUGCUAUUGCUAGAACUCCUACUGCUAGUGACGACCCAUCACCGUAAGAUGUCCCAACACACCUCCCCAGCAGAGGUGUGUUGGCCAAACAUUGCAUGGCGCCCUCGACCAUUCACUGAACCAAAAACACGCUAUGAGAAAAGCUGACUUCCCUCUUGUACGCUAUGACUGAAGCACAGUGGAUCAUGUUUCUUAGGUGUCACUCCUGUUAAUUAAUUUAGUCCCUAAGAAAUGGUAUUGAUUAAAGCGUGAUUACA